AGACUGAACAAAUCAAGUGACCUCAGCUGCUCCUUAUAUGGUUUUCCCUCCAGAUCCUUCACCAUCCUUGCUGCCCUGCCUUGGGC
Non-coding RNA from Sturnus vulgaris (Common starling), 86 nucleotides. The record is from RefSeq and is a predicted model, not a curated record. Lineage: Eukaryota; Metazoa; Chordata; Aves; Passeriformes; Sturnidae.